CACCUCCGCCCGGGGACCCGGUGCCUGCAGGAGACCUGCCAGCCCGGCUGUGCCUGCCCGCCCGGACAGGUGCUGCAGGAUGGUGCCUGCGUCCCCCCCGAGGAGUGCCGCUGCGUGCUGGCCCCCCCCGUGCCCUGGGCGCGCAACCUGUCGCAGGAGGAGCGGGAGCAGGAGUACCCGCCGGGCAGCCGCAUCCACCACCGCUGCAACAGCUGCGUCUGCAUCCGUGGCGCCUUCAACUGCUCCCGGCAGGAUUGCAACGCCCGGCAGCGAGUGGCUCGAGGACUGCGCGACCUGCCG
Molecule: long non-coding RNA, 300 nt
Filed under: Apteryx rowi (Okarito brown kiwi)
Lineage: Eukaryota; Metazoa; Chordata; Aves; Apterygiformes; Apterygidae
Description: lncRNA (ENSARWG00000012848.1)
Source: RNAcentral